GACGAACGCUGGCGGCGUGCUUAACACAUGCAAGUCGAACGAUGAACCCGGAGCUUGCUCCGGCGGAUUAGUGGCGAACGGGUGAGUAACACGUGAGUAACCUGCCCUUGACUCUGGGAUAACUGCUAGAAAUGGUAGCUAAUACCGGAUACGACCCUCGGUGGCAUCACCAGGGGGUGGAAAGAAUGUCAGUCAAGGAUGGACUCGCGGCAUAUCGGCUAGUUGGUGAGGUAACGGCUCACCAAGGCGACGACGGGUAGCCGGCCUGAGAGGGUGACCGGCCACACUGGGACUGAGACACGGCCCAGACUCCUACGGGAGGCAGCAGUGGGGAAUAUUGCACAAUGGGCGCAAGCCCGAUGCAGCAACGCCGCGUGAGGGAUGACGGCCUUCGGGUUGUAAACCUCUUUUAGUAGGGAAGAAGCGAAAGUGACGGUACCUGCAGAAAAAGCACCGGCUAACUACGUGCCAGCCGCCGCAGUAA
Molecule: ribosomal RNA, 484 nt
Filed under: uncultured bacterium
Lineage: Bacteria
Description: partial 16S ribosomal RNA
Rfam family: Bacterial small subunit ribosomal RNA
Source: RNAcentral